This 253-nucleotide ribosomal RNA is filed under the name uncultured bacterium. Its description in RNAcentral is "partial 16S ribosomal RNA". It matches the Rfam family "Bacterial small subunit ribosomal RNA", at positions 524 to 776 of the family's 1533-position model. The record is from RNAcentral.
UACAGAGGUCUCAAGCGUUGUUCGGAAUUACUGGGCGUAAAGGGUGCGCAGGCCGCGCGGGCAGUCAAAUGUGUAAUUCAGGGGCUCAACCCCUGCACUGCGCUUGAUACUUCCGCGCUCGAGCUUUGGAGAGGAGUCUGGAAUUCCCGGUGUAGCAGUGAAAUGCGUGGAUAUCGAGAAGAACACUUAGGGCGAAGGCAAGACUCUGGACAAAUGCUGACGCUCAUGCACGAAGGCUAGGGUAGCGAACGGG